This 1283-nucleotide ribosomal RNA is filed under the name Lactiplantibacillus pentosus. Its description in RNAcentral is "bacterial SSU rRNA". The record is from RNAcentral. Lineage: Bacteria; Bacillati; Bacillota; Bacilli; Lactobacillales; Lactobacillaceae.
GUGGCGAACUGGUGAGUAACACGUGGGAAACCUGCCCAGAAGCGGGGGAUAACACCUGGAAACAGAUGCUAAUACCGCAUAACAACUUGGACCGCAUGGUCCGAGUUUGAAAGAUGGCUUCGGCUAUCACUUUUGGAUGGUCCCGCGGCGUAUUAGCUAGAUGGUGRGGUAACGGCUCACCAUGGCAAUGAUACGUAGCCGACCUGAGAGGGUAAUCGGCCACAUUGGGACUGAGACACGGCCCAAACUCCUACGGGAGGCAGCAGUAGGGAAUCUUCCACAAUGGACGAAAGUCUGAUGGAGCAACGCCGCGUGAGUGAAGAAGGGUUUCGGCUCGUAAAACUCUGUUGUUAAAGAAGAACAUAUCUUUGAGAGUAACUGUUCAGGUAUUGACGGUAUUUAACCAGAAAGCCACGGCUAACUACGUGCCAGCAGCCGCGGUAAUACGUAGGUGGCAAGCGUUGUCCGGAUUUAUUGGGCGUAAAGCGAGCGCAGGCGGUUUUUUAAGUCUGAUGUGAAAGCCUUCGGCUCAACCGAAGAAGUGCAUCGGAAACUGGGAAACUUGAGUGCAGAAGAGGACAGUGGAACUCCAUGUGUAGCGGUGAAAUGCGUAGAUAUAUGGAAGAACACCAGUGGCGAAGGCGGCUGUCUGGUCUGUAACUGACGCUGAGGCUCGAAAGUAUGGGUAGCAAACAGGAUUAGAUACCCUGGUAGUCCAUACCGUAAACGAUGAAUGCUAAGUGUUGGAGGGUUUCCGCCCUUCAGUGCUGCAGCUAACGCAUUAAGCAUUCCGCCUGGGGAGUACGGCCGCAAGGCUGAAACUCAAAGGAAUUGACGGGGGCCCGCACAAGCGGUGGAGCAUGUGGUUUAAUUCGAAGCUACGCGAAGAACCUUACCAGGUCUUGACAUACUAUGCAAAUCUAAGAGAUUAGACGUUCCCUUCGGGGACAUGGAUACAGGUGGUGCAUGGUUGUCGUCAGCUCGUGUCGUGAGAUGUUGGGUUAAGUCCCGCAACGAGCGCAACCCUUAUUAUCAGUUGCCAGCAUUAAGUUGGGCACUCUGGUGAGACUGCCGGUGACAAACCGGAGGAAGGUGGGGAUGACGUCAAAUCAUCAUGCCCCUUAUGACCUGGGCUACACACGUGCUACAAUGGAUGGUACAACGAGUUGCGAACUCGCGAGAGUAAGCUAAUCUCUUAAAGCCAUUCUCAGUUCGGAUUGUAGGCUGCAACUCGCCUACAUGAAGUCGGAAUCGCUAGUAAUCGCGGAUCAGCAUGCCGCGGU